Molecule: transfer RNA, 75 nt
Filed under: Dissulfuribacter thermophilus
Lineage: Bacteria; Pseudomonadati; Thermodesulfobacteriota; Dissulfuribacteria; Dissulfuribacterales; Dissulfuribacteraceae
Also listed under: 6 other names
Description: tRNA-Val
Rfam family: tRNA
About the family: Transfer RNA (tRNA) molecules are approximately 80 nucleotides in length. Their secondary structure includes four short double-helical elements and three loops (D, anti-codon, and T loops). Further hydrogen bonds mediate the characteristic L-shaped molecular structure. tRNAs have two regions of fundamental functional importance: the anti-codon, which is responsible for specific mRNA codon recognition, and the 3' end, to which the tRNAs corresponding amino acid is attached (by aminoacyl-tRNA synthetases). tRNAs cope with the degeneracy of the genetic code in two manners: having more than one tRNA (with a specific anti-codon) for a particular amino acid; and 'wobble' base-pairing, i.e. permitting non-standard base-pairing at the 3rd anti-codon position.
Source: RNAcentral
AGGCGCGUAGCUCAGGGGGAGAGCGCUACCUUGACGCGGUAGAAGUCGGCGGUUCGAUCCCGCCCGCGCCUACCA